CCUACGGGAGGCAGCAGUGGGGAAUAUUGCACAAUGGGGGAAACCCUGAUGCAGCGACGCCGCGUGAGUGAAGAAGGAAUUCGUUAUGUAAAGCUCUAUCAGCAGGGACGAAAAUGAAGGGACCUGAGUCAGAAGCCCCGGCUAACUACGUGCCAGCAGCCGCGGUAAUACGUAGGGGGCAAGCGUUAUCCGGAGUUACUGGGUGUAAAGGGAGCGUAGACGGCAGUGCAAGUCUGGAGUGAAAGGCGGGGGCUCAACCGCCGAACUGCUCUGGAUACUGUACGGCUGGAGUGCAGGAGAGGUAGGUGGAAUUCCUAGUGUAGCGGUGAAAUGCGUAGAUAUUAGGAAGAACACCAGUUGCGAAGGCAGCUUACUAGACUGUAACUGACAUUGAGGCUCGAAAGCGUGGGGAGCAAACAGGAUUAGAUACCCUAGUAGUC
This 440-nucleotide ribosomal RNA is filed under the name uncultured bacterium. Its description in RNAcentral is "partial 16S ribosomal RNA". It matches the Rfam family "Bacterial small subunit ribosomal RNA", at positions 338 to 795 of the family's 1533-position model. The record is from RNAcentral.